This 244-nucleotide long non-coding RNA is filed under the name Homo sapiens (human). Its description in RNAcentral is "HSALNT0180404". Lineage: Eukaryota; Metazoa; Chordata; Mammalia; Primates; Hominidae. The record is from RNAcentral.
UUCCUGAAAUGCAGGGGGAUCUCUUUGCCCCACAUGUUUAAAGCCUUUGACACUAAUCGAUCCACUGUAAUAUGCGGUGGCAAAAGAAUGGAACCCUAAGUAAGUGGGCUGUGAGUCUACAGAACUUUGAAAGUAUGUGUUAUUUUUCAUUAACUAAAACGAGGAAGUAUUACAUCGUUAUUGGCAGGAAGCACACAAUGUAUUUGUCUUUCAAAGGAUUUUUUUUUCUGUCUGCUGCAUAAAU